UAGGUUAAGAUCCAAAUACAAUCAAAUUUAAUCAUAAAUACUGUAAUAAUUCCAUAAGUAAUUCCAAAAGGACCUAAAUUGCAAAAUCUCUUCGUCUACAUAGACUUUUGCUCUGAUAUCCAAUUUUUUGUGAUAUUCUAUUUUUCCUUCGGAGUAGACUUAUAGGACCAACCCAUCUUAUCAAAACAAAAAUGAAAAUGAAAUCAAACAGGGGAAGCAUUAGAGCAAGAGGAGGGGAG
RNAcentral lists this long non-coding RNA (239 nucleotides) under Elaeis guineensis (African oil palm). Its description in RNAcentral is "long non-coding RNA (EGUI_LNC022619)". Lineage: Eukaryota; Viridiplantae; Streptophyta; Magnoliopsida; Arecales; Arecaceae. The record is from RNAcentral.